Molecule: ribosomal RNA, 427 nt
Filed under: uncultured bacterium
Lineage: Bacteria
Description: partial 16S ribosomal RNA
Rfam family: Bacterial small subunit ribosomal RNA
Source: RNAcentral
UGGGGAAUAUUGGACAAUGGGCGAAAGCCUGAUCCAGCCAUGCCGCGUGUGUGAAGAAGGUCUUCGGAUUGUAAAGCACUUUAAGUUGGGAGGAAGGGCAUUAACCUAAUACGUUAGUGUUUUGACGUUACCGACAGAAUAAGCACCGGCUAACUCUGUGCCAGCAGCCGCGGUAAUACAGAGGGUGCAAGCGUUAAUCGGAAUUACUGGGCGUAAAGCGCGCGUAGGUGGUUUGUUAAGUUGGAUGUGAAAUCCCCGGGCUCAACCUGGGAACUGCAUUCAAAACUGACUGACUAGAGUAUGGUAGAGGGUGGUGGAAUUUCCUGUGUAGCUGUGAAAUGCGUAGAUAUAGGAAGGAACACCAGUGGCGAAGGCGACCACCUGGACUAAUACUGACACUGAGGUGCGAAAGCGUGGGGAGCAAACA